AUUUAUUUAGUAUAUAAGUACAUUUGACUUCCAAUCAAAAAGAUUGAUUAAUUCAAAAUAAAUA
RNAcentral lists this transfer RNA (64 nucleotides) under Anabrus simplex (Mormon cricket). RNAcentral describes it as "tRNA-Gly". It matches the Rfam family "tRNA". From Rfam's summary of the family: Transfer RNA (tRNA) molecules are approximately 80 nucleotides in length. Their secondary structure includes four short double-helical elements and three loops (D, anti-codon, and T loops). RNAcentral also lists the same sequence under 3 other names. The record is from RNAcentral. Lineage: Eukaryota; Metazoa; Arthropoda; Insecta; Orthoptera; Tettigoniidae.